AUUGAACGCUGGCGGAAUGCUUUACACAUGCAAGUCGAACGGUAGAGGGGGCAACCCCUCGAGAGUGGCGAACGGGUGAGUAAUAUAUCGGAACGUGCCCAGUCGUGGGGGAUAACGUAGCAAAAGUUACGCUAAUACCGCAUACGAUCUAAGGAUGAAAGCGGGGGAUCGCAGGACCUCGCGCGAUUGGAGCGGCCGAUAUCAGAUUAGGUAGUUGGUGGGGUAAAGGCUCACCAAGCCAACGAUCUGUAGCUGGUCUGAGAGGACGACCAGCCAAACUGGAACUGAGACACGGUCCAGACUCCUACGGGAGGCAGCAGUGGGGAAUUUUGGACAAUGGACGCAAGUCUGAGCCAGCCAUUCCGCGUGCAGGAUGAAGGCCCUCGGGUUGUAAACUGCUUUUGUACGGAACGAAAAGGUCUCUCUUAAUACGGGGGGCUCAUGACGGUACCGUAAGAAUAAGCACCGGCUAACUACGUGCCAGCAGCCGCGGUAA
RNAcentral lists this ribosomal RNA (496 nucleotides) under uncultured bacterium. Its description in RNAcentral is "partial 16S ribosomal RNA". It matches the Rfam family "Bacterial small subunit ribosomal RNA", at positions 30 to 523 of the family's 1533-position model. The record is from RNAcentral.